AGUGAACGCUGGCGGUAGGCCUAACACAUGCAAGUCGAACGGCAGCACAGUAAGAGCUUGCUCUUACGGGUGGCGAGUGGCGGACGGGUGAGGAAUACAUCGGAAUCUACUUUUUCGUGGGGGAUAACGUAGGGAAACUUACGCUAAUACCGCAUACGCUCUACGGGUGAAAGCAGGGGAUCUUCGGACCUUGCGCGAUUGAAUGAGCCGAUGUCGGAUUAGCUAGUUGGCGGGGUAAAGGCCCACCAAGGCGACGAUCCGUAGCUGGUCUGAGAGGAUGAUCGGCCACACUGGAACUGAGACACGGUCCAGACUCCUACGGGAGGCAGCAGUGGGGAAUAUUGGGCAAUGGGCGCAAGCCUGACCCAGCCAUACCGCGUGGGUGAAGAAGGCCUUCGGGUUGUAAAGCCCUUUUGUUGGGAAAGAAAAGCAGCAGGUUAAUACCCCGCUGUUCUGACGGUACCCAAAGAAUAAGCACCGGCUAACUACGUG
This 492-nucleotide ribosomal RNA is filed under the name uncultured bacterium. RNAcentral's name for it is "partial 16S ribosomal RNA". It matches the Rfam family "Bacterial small subunit ribosomal RNA", at positions 29 to 507 of the family's 1533-position model. The record is from RNAcentral.